Molecule: ribosomal RNA, 462 nt
Filed under: uncultured bacterium
Lineage: Bacteria
Description: bacterial SSU rRNA
Rfam family: Bacterial small subunit ribosomal RNA
Source: RNAcentral
UUACGGGAGGCAGCAGUCGAGAAUUUUUCUCAAUGGGGGAAACCCUGAAGGAGCGACGCCGCGUGGAGGAUGAAGGUCUUCGGAUUGUAAACUCCUGUCAUUUGGGAACAAUGCCCCGAUAUUAACUGUAUCGGGGUUGAUAGUACCAGAAGAGGAAGAGACGGCUAACUCUGUGCCAGCAGCCGCGGUAAUACAGAGGUCUCAAGCGUUGUUCGGAUUCAUUGGGCGUAAAGGGUGCGUAGGCGGCGCGGUAAGUCGGGUGUGAAAUCUCGGGGCUUAACUCCGAAACUGCAUUCGAUACUGCCGUGCUUGAGGACUGGAGAGGAGACUGGAAUUUACGGUGUAGCGGUGAAAUGCGUAGAUAUCGUAAGGAAGACCAGUGGCGAAGGCGGGUCUCUGGACAGUUCCUGACGCUGAGGCACGAAGGUCAGGGGAGCAAACGGGCUUAGAUACCCUGGUAGC